Molecule: ribosomal RNA, 483 nt
Filed under: uncultured bacterium
Lineage: Bacteria
Description: bacterial SSU rRNA
Rfam family: Bacterial small subunit ribosomal RNA
Source: RNAcentral
CUACGUGCCAGCAGCCGCGGUAAUACGGAAGGUCCAGGCGUUAUCCGGAUUUAUUGGGUUUAAAGGGAGCGUAGGCGGACGAUUAAGUCAGCUGUGAAAGUUUGCGGCUCAACCGUAAAAUUGCAGUUGAAACUGGUUGUCUUGAGUGCACGCAGGGAUGUUGGAAUUCAUGGUGUAGCGGUGAAAUGCUUAGAUAUCAUGAAGAACUCCGAUCGCGAAGGCAUAUGUCCGGAGUGCAACUGACGCUGAGGCUCGAAAGUGCGGGUAUCGAACAGGAUUAGAUACCCUGGUAGUCCGCACAGUAAACGAUGAAUACUCGCAGUAUGCGAUAUAAUGUAUGCUGCCAAGUGAAAACGUUAAGUAUUCCACCUGGGGAGUACGCCGGCAACGGUGAAACUCAAAGGAAUUGACGGGGGCCCGCACAAGCGGAGGAACAUGUGGUUUAAUUCGAUGAUACGCGAGGAACCUUACCCAGGCUUGAAC